RNAcentral lists this ribosomal RNA (497 nucleotides) under uncultured bacterium 176. RNAcentral's name for it is "partial 16S ribosomal RNA". It matches the Rfam family "Bacterial small subunit ribosomal RNA", at positions 400 to 908 of the family's 1533-position model. The record is from RNAcentral.
CGUGAGGGANNACGGCCUUCGGGUNGUAAACCUCUUNCAGCAGGGACNAAUCGCAAGUGACGGUACCUGCAGAANAAGCACCGGCUAACUACGUGCCAACAGCCGCGGUAAUACGUAGGGUGCAAGCGUUGUCCGGAAUUNCUGGGCGUAAAGAGUUCGUANGCGGUNUGUCGCNUCCUUUGUGAAAACCANCANCUCAACUGCUGGCUUGCAGGCGAUACGGGCAGACUUGAGUACUGCAGGGGAGACUGGAAUUCCUGGUGUAGCGGUGAAAUGCGCAGAUAUCAGGAGGAACACCGGUGGCGAAGGCGGGUCUCUGGGCAGUAACUGACGCUGAGGAACGAAAGCGUGGGUAGCGAACAGGAUUAGAUACCCUGGUAGUCCACGCCGUAAACNGUGGGCGCUAGGUGUGGGUNCCUUCCACGGAAUCCGUGNCGUAGCUAACGCAUUAAGCGCCCCGCCUGGGGAGUACGGCCGCAAGGCUAAAACUCAAAUGA